Molecule: ribosomal RNA, 229 nt
Filed under: uncultured Staphylococcus sp.
Lineage: Bacteria; Bacillati; Bacillota; Bacilli; Caryophanales; Staphylococcaceae
Description: partial 16S ribosomal RNA
Rfam family: Bacterial small subunit ribosomal RNA
Source: RNAcentral
UAACACGUGGAUAACCUACCUAUAAGACUGGGAUAACUUCGGGAAACCGGAGCUAAUACCGGAUAAUAUUAUGAACCGCAUGGUUCAAAAGUGAAAGACUGUCUUGCUGUCACUUAUAGAUGGAUCCGCGCUGCAUUAGCUAGUUGGUAAGGUAACGGCUUACCAAGGCAACGAUGCAUAGCCGACCUGAGAGGGUGAUCGGCCACACUGGAACUGAGACACGGUCCAG